CUUUCACCAAAUGUUGAUGUUGUCAAUGGGAGUAUCUCUGAACAGCUAGCUCAAUCAUCACCAUCUUCUUCUCUUGAUUUUGGUGGGCAGUUUGAUCCUAGCAGUUUCAAGACGCUUUUCGGAGCUCUAAGGGAGAAAGUUAGCUGGCAAGAUGAAGCUGUACAUGUUAUCAGCCAAACAAUAGCUCAUUGCAGGACAGCAAACAAAAGAUGCCAAGGAGCGAGUCUGAGACGGGAUAUAUGGUUCAAUUUCCUUGGACCUGAUAGCUGCGGUAAGAAGAAAAUUGCUGCUGCUCUGGCCAAG
Molecule: unclassified non-coding RNA, 303 nt
Filed under: Hevea brasiliensis (rubber tree)
Lineage: Eukaryota; Viridiplantae; Streptophyta; Magnoliopsida; Malpighiales; Euphorbiaceae
Source: RNAcentral